UUGAACGUUGGCGGCACGCCUAAUACAUGCAAGUCGAACGAGAAAGCACUUCGGUGUGAGUACAGUGGCGGACGGGUGAGUAACGCGUAGGAAUCUACCUAGUAGUGGGGGACAACUCGAGGAAACUCGAGCUAAUACCGCAUACGCUCUUAGGAGGAAAGUGGGGGAUCUUCGGACCUCACGCUAUUAGAGGAGCCUGCGUUAGAUUAGCUUGUUGGUGAGGUAAAGGCUCACCAAGGCGACGAUCUAUAGCUGGUCUGAGAGGACGAUCAGCCACACUGGAACUGAGACACGGUCCAGACUCCUACGGGAGGCAGCAGUAGGGAAUCUUGGGCAAUGGGCGAAAGCCUGACCCAGCGAUGCCGCGUGUGCGAAGAAGGCCUUAGGGUUGUAAAGCACUUUCAGUCGUGAAGAAAAGCUACGAUUUAAUAUGUCGUGGUCUUGACGUUAGCGACAGAAGAAGUACCGGCUAACUCCGUGCCAGCAGCCGCGGUAAUACGGAGGGUACGAACGUUAAUCGGAAUUACUGGGCGUAAAGCGCGCGUAGGCGGUUUGAUAAGUGGGAUGUGAAAGCCCCGGGCUCAACCUGGGAACUGCAUUCCAAACUGUCAAACUAGAGUGUGGUAGAGGGCGGUAGAAUUUCCUGUGUAGCGGUGAAAUGCGUAGAUAUAGGAAGGAAUACCGAUGGCGAAGGCAGCCGCCUGGACCAACACUGACGCUGA
This 722-nucleotide ribosomal RNA is filed under the name gamma proteobacterium IMCC14267. RNAcentral describes it as "bacterial SSU rRNA". It matches the Rfam family "Bacterial small subunit ribosomal RNA", at positions 29 to 749 of the family's 1533-position model. The record is from RNAcentral. Lineage: Bacteria; Pseudomonadati; Pseudomonadota; Gammaproteobacteria.